RNAcentral lists this transfer RNA (72 nucleotides) under Centroscymnus crepidater (longnose velvet dogfish). RNAcentral describes it as "Centroselachus crepidater (longnose velvet dogfish) tRNA-Val". It matches the Rfam family "tRNA". Rfam says of the family: Transfer RNA (tRNA) molecules are approximately 80 nucleotides in length. Their secondary structure includes four short double-helical elements and three loops (D, anti-codon, and T loops). Further hydrogen bonds mediate the characteristic L-shaped molecular structure. tRNAs have two regions of fundamental functional importance: the anti-codon, which is responsible for specific mRNA codon recognition, and the 3' end, to which the tRNAs corresponding amino acid is attached (by aminoacyl-tRNA synthetases). tRNAs cope with the degeneracy of the genetic code in two manners: having more than one tRNA (with a specific anti-codon) for a particular amino acid; and 'wobble' base-pairing, i.e. permitting non-standard base-pairing at the 3rd anti-codon position. The record is from RNAcentral. Lineage: Eukaryota; Metazoa; Chordata; Chondrichthyes; Squaliformes; Somniosidae.
CAAAAUGUAGCUAAAUUAGUAAAGUACCUCCCUUACACCGAGGAAAAACCCGUGCAAAUCGUGUCAUUUUGA